This 29-nucleotide ribosomal RNA is filed under the name Macrodiplodiopsis desmazieri. RNAcentral describes it as "partial 28S ribosomal RNA". The record is from RNAcentral. Lineage: Eukaryota; Fungi; Ascomycota; Dothideomycetes; Pleosporales.
CUUGACCUCGGAUCAGGUAGGGAUACCCC